Molecule: long non-coding RNA, 4762 nt
Organism: Triticum aestivum (bread wheat)
Lineage: Eukaryota; Viridiplantae; Streptophyta; Magnoliopsida; Poales; Poaceae
Exons: 2
Source: RefSeq, a predicted model, not a curated record
UGGAGGGAUCAUCUUGUGAAGAAAGAAGAGAAGUAGAAGGGCCAAAGAGCAAAGCGGCAGAUCUGAUUGAGGGGAACAAAAUCCCUAGAAUGCCUCUAUUCCCCAGGGGGCCUGGCACAUCUCUCCAUCUCAUCUCUUCCCCGCCUCCUUCUCCACCUCUGACCGCCACUGCGGCCAGGCCGUCAUGGCGGCGCGCCACCCAGCCAACCUCCUUCCUCCAACACCAUCAUCGCCUCCAGCUACCACGCCAUCAGCACCUGCCGCUGCACCAUCAACCGCGCCACCAACUCCACCGCGCUACCGCAUCACCGAAUCAUUUUAGGGGAUUACCCAAUGAAGACCCUCAUGAGCACAUUAGUAAUGUUCUGGAGUAUGCCAAUACAGUCCAGUACCAUGGCGUUUCCCAAGAUGCUAUCAAGUGUAUGUUGUUCACAUUCUCUCUCAGAGAUGCUGCUAAGGACUGGUACAAUUCUUUGCCAUCAAGAUCAUACACUUGGGGUGAUAUUUCGCAAGCUUUCCUGCAUAGAUAUUUUCCACUUUACAAGCAAGCUCCAAUUCGUGACCAGAUCCUCAGUUUUGUGCAAGAUGGAAGUGAGAGCUUGUAUGCAGCUUGGGAGAGAUAUAAGUAUUUUCUUAGAAAAUGUCCUAAUCAUGGGCAAAAGGAUUGGUUAGUGCUUUAGAUAUUCUAUAGAGGGCUGACACAUGCUUCAAGAGGUCUUAAUGAUAUUUCAGCUUGUGGAACAAUCAUGAACAAGACCGUUGAGGGUGCAAUUAUUCUCAUUGAGAGCAUUGCCUUCCACCAAAUGCAAUGGGGUUAUGAAAGGCCUAGUUCAAAUCCAAAGGUUGCAAGUUGUGUGCAAUCAGAAGCUGUGUGUUCCAUAAGUGAACAGAAAUCAUCCAUAGUGCCUAAUAUUGAAAACCAGCAUGUUUCAUUCCAGGGACAACAACAUCCAGAACUGAAUUAGAGCCUCCAUAUAGAAACAUUGAUCUUACUUCAAUUAUCCUUGAUGAUGAUUAUGAUAUUUUCCAAGAUGAUGCAACCACUGUAGAUCAGAUGGAUACCACAGUAGCAGAUCCAAUACCUCAUGGCAAUGAAACUGUUCAGAAUGAGUCAAAGUUGCAAGAAGAGGUUUAUGAGGAACCUACUCUGAUUGACGCUAAGUUGAGACAACAAGAUAUGGAGAAAUUCACUUGUGUUAGUCAGCUAUCUGACUGGCGGAAUUUAGUCGUGUCACCAAUUGCCCACACUUGUGUUACAACUGUAUCUGGACUAUUUGUGAAGAAGAAAUCAUUAGCUCCACCAGUGGUUACCUCUAUCACAGUUAAAGAGAGUAUUUCAGAGAAGAAUAGUGAAGAUGAGAUUCCAACUCGUGCACAUACAAUUAAGCAAGUCGGAGACAUUUCAAGGAGAGAGAUACAAGAGGUUGAGUUAAAUUUAGAAGAGUUGAUACUUCAAUAUCCUGAGAAGAUCCCAUGUGUUGCUGAGCUGCAUGACUGGUGGAAGUCAUCGGUGUCACUGUUGAAACUUAGCAAUGAUGGUGAUGAGGAGAACAUUGCUCAGGAAGACAGCGAGGUAGUGAUCUCAGCACCCCUACCAGAUCAUGUUAGUGAAUAUUCACAGAUGGGGACACUUCAGACUCAAUUAAGUGUUGCUGGUAGUAGCACCAUAGAAGAUCCAGAGGAAGAGAGACCUCAGAUUGAAGAUGUACUCGAAGCUAAUGCAGAAGACGAUCCAGAGAUCGAACAACCAAGUAAUCAAGUUGAAUACUCUUCAUCUACUACUCUUGAAGAAGCAAAAGAAGCUGCUGUAGAUGAACUUGAAGAACCAGAAAUUCAUUUGCCUAUUGUCACAUAAGAGCGUGAUGUAGCAGGUUUAUCUAAUCCUCUUGAUGAUAUGAGUCCAUAUGAAUUGUUUGCUACUACCUUGCAUUGCAUGAUGCCAUCUGUUAAACUAGAUUUGAAAAAGUAUUUGCUUGGAUAUGAUCAUAUAUACCUUGUUAGUGGAAUUACUCACAUUAGGGAUGAUCAUAGUUACUUUCAUCGUGCUAGACCUAUGCUUAAUGAAACAUAUCAUUCUCAUACUAGUCUUGAGCUUAAUGAUAAAUGUCAUCCUCAUGUUAGUGUUGACCUUAUUGAUUUCUAUCACCCUAAACAUGUGCUUUAUAGCUAUGCUUAUGUAAUUGGCCACUCGAUUGAUGACUUGGAGGGUAUUAUCCCUACCACUCGCAUUGUCUCUUUUGUUGAGUGCCUUUUUAGGUUUUUGCUUCUGCACUGUUCACUUCAUGCUGACCAGGUUCGAGGUGACAUUCCUUGGGACCCUGGUGGACUCAGAGCACGGCGAAGAGGAGAAGCAAUGGGGCACACAUAUGGAAGAGAGAAGCUGGAGAAGGCAUGAGGAUUGAGAUGCAAAAGGAGAGGAGCUGCAGUUGGUGAGGUGAUCGAGCGAGUGCUACAUCAUCAAAGCCCGGUGAGCUGUUUCAUGACCCAUUUUGAAAUCAUCAUCCAUUGAUGCUUGCUGAAUUAAAUUGCUAUUUGGGUUGCUUGUGCCAUUUCUUAAAUGUUGUCCCACUGAAUUUCACCUUUGACAUAUGGUGCUUGAUGAGAAUAUGCGAACUGAUUGUUGAAUGCCUUGUAAACUAGUGAUCUACACCCUGUUUGCUCUGCUGAAAGUGGUGAAAGCUAUUAGUUUUGAGUGCUCAAAUCCCUAGUGCACUAGUAAACUUAAUCAUUUUCUACUUUUACCUUGAUACACUUAGAUCAUUAAGUUUUAGAUGUUGAGUUUGUGCCUAUUGUGUUCCCAUUGAGAGCAAUCACUUUACCACUAUGGACUAGUAUGCUAUGUUCCCUGGAUCGGUAGCAUGUGAGCCAGACAUGGAGAAGUGAUGAUUCUUGUUUUUGUGCUUAUGCAUUGUUCAUUUAAGAUAAGUAAUAAUGAAUAAAUAAGUCUGACUACCUACAGUAGCAUGUCAUGUUCCCUUGAUCGGUGGCACGUGAAAUCGGGUUAGCUUGGGCAGUAAUUAAUAAUAAAAAUGUAAUUGUCGAACCAGGUGUUCUCUGGAUUGGUGGUAUGUUCCUUUGGGGAGACAAACAAAAAAACUAAUAAUUGGUCGAGCCGGGUGUAUACCAUGUUCUCGGGAUCGGUGGUAUGUUCCUUUGGUGAGAUUGAUAAAAUAUUACCAUUGCUUUAUUUCUAUAAAUAAGUGAUCUGAUCACAAGUUUAUGUUGUUUUUGUUCUCGGGAUCAUGCUCUCUUUAGGAACCUUUGGCGCAAUCAUCAUUUGAACUAGUUGAUCUUCUUUUAUCAUUGUAAACGUUUAAAAUGGUCAAGUCUACUAGUAUCCUACUGCUUUGAAGCACUCCUAACUAUUAAUUUUCACUAGCUAAGUCCAAAGCAUGCAUUGUUUAGAGAUCUACUUCACUUGGCAUUCUCUAGUCAGUUCUCAAUUCACUAUCGAGUUCGUGUCAUAUGCCUUUACUUGAGGACAAGUAAAGAUUUAAGUGUGGGGGAACUUGAUAAGCACACUUCUUAUACAUCUUUUGGCACUCAAAUAUGCGAUUUAUUGGGAUAUGACCAUCAAUUCUUGCUGUGAAAUGUUGAAUAUUUGAAUGAAAAUCAUAUAAAAGAUCAUUUACUCGUCAUUUGAUUAUUUUGCAGAAAAGUGCGCAAAGGCACUAUAAUCGUCAAGAUUCUGACUUUAUGGCUAAUGAGAAGGGAGAAGGGCAUGAAAGAAAUACAUCACGGACCGGAGCGAGAAGAAAAGAAGUAACCAGGGGCAUGCCAAAGAAGUUGGAGGGACCAUCUUGUGAAGAAAGAAGAGAAGUAGAAGGGCCAAAGAGCAAAGCAGCAGAUCUGAUCGAGGGGAACAAAAUCCCUAGAAUGCCUCUAUUCCCCAAGGGGCCUGGCACAUCUCUCCAUCUCAUCUCUUCCCCGCCUCCUUCUCCACCUCCGGCCGCUGCCGCAGCCAGGCCAUCGUGGUGGUGCGCCACCCAGACAACCUCCUUCCUCCAACACCAUCAUCGCCUCCAGCUACCACGCCAUCAGCACCUGCCGCUGCACCAUUAACCGUGCCACCAGCUCCACCGCGCCACCGCAUCACCGGUGGGCCACCAACCAGCGCACCUCCCUCACCCUGCUGCUCAUCUUCUUCUCCCCACCAUGUCCAAACUACUGCCGCUCUUCUCUCCAGCCUAUACUGCUGCUGCUUCUUCCCCUCGAUAUUCUGCUGCUCUGCUCUCUAUACUCUGCUGCUGCCCCUGUCUCCUAACAAUACUGCUGCACUUCUUCUGAAGCUUUUCUCAAACCCAAGAAUCUGCUGCUGCUCCUCCCCUAACACGGCUGCUUCUUCUCCAUCCCCACGCUGCUGCUUUUUCUUCAAGUCCCCUGCUGCUUCCUUCUGCUUCAGGAUGACACCCCUUUGCUGAUUCUCUUCUCUGUAUCUCAACCCCCACUGCUUGCUGCCCCUUCUCUCUUCUGCUCGCUGCUAUCUCUUUCCCUCUCUCUUCUUUGAAUUUUCUGUAAUUGGAGACGUGUAGUACAUGUAAUAUUCAGAUUUGAUAAGAUCUUGCAACCUGACAAUUGUUUAGCUUCGUACUUAUAAAUAUUAUAUCACAGAUUGUGUAUUCUCACUAGUUGAAGUGUUCUUGCUGUGUAUUUGUGGUCUAUCUCUCACCAUAUAUGUGUAUCCAACCUUGUGAACUUUUUUCAUUUUGUAGUCUGUGUUAACUCAAGUAUGUGUGAUAUAUAUGUAUGUGUGUGCCUGUGA